GAUGAACGCUGGCGGCGUGCCUAAUACAUGCAAGUCGAGCGAACGGACGAGAAGCUUGCUUCUCUGAUGUUAGCGGCGGACGGGUGAGUAACACGUGGAUAACCUACCUAUAAGACUGGGAUAACUUCGGGAAACCGGAGCUAAUACCGGAUGAUAUUUUGAACCGCAUGGUUCAAAAGUGAAAGACGGUCUUGCUGUCACUUAUAGAUGGAUCCGCGCUGCAUUAGCUAGUUGGUAAGGUAACGGCUUACCAAGGCAACGAUGCAUAGCCGACCUGAGAUGGUGAUCGGCCACACUGGAACUGAGACACGGUCCAGACUCCUACGGGAGGCAGCAGUAGGGAAUCUUCCGCAAUGGGCGAAAGCCUGACGGAGCAACGCCGCGUGAGUGAUGAAGGUCUUCGGAUCGUAAAACUCUGUUAUUAGGGAAGAACAUAUGUGUAAGUAACUGUGCACAUCUUGACGGUACCUAAUCAGAAAGCCACGGCUAACUACGUG
This 497-nucleotide ribosomal RNA is filed under the name uncultured bacterium. RNAcentral's name for it is "partial 16S ribosomal RNA". It matches the Rfam family "Bacterial small subunit ribosomal RNA", at positions 28 to 507 of the family's 1533-position model. The record is from RNAcentral.